Molecule: unclassified non-coding RNA, 410 nt
Filed under: Hevea brasiliensis (rubber tree)
Lineage: Eukaryota; Viridiplantae; Streptophyta; Magnoliopsida; Malpighiales; Euphorbiaceae
Source: RNAcentral
GUUUGACAUCAGAAAUGUUACAUGCUAUGUGAGAUUUCUCCAUCUAUUGUCAUUGCAAAUGAAGAAACCUUCCGACACCAUACCCCAUAUCAAUCUUCUUGGAAAAAUGUGAAUUUUUAAUUAGAGCAUCUACAUGUGACCAUGCCCUGAGUUAAUAACUCGUAAGUGGACCUCAGCCCCUAUUGUGUUGAAGGAUUUGCAGGCUAGAAUUAUAUAUUUGUUAGUAAGAUAAGAUUGAUCUGAUUAAACAUGGACAAUGCAUGGGGUUGGUCCAUCAAAAAAACUUCUACUGGAGUAUUAGCAAAUCAAACCUUUUAGCUCACAUAAGACCCUCAUCUGCCCCCAUUUGUAAGGACAAACCUUAGCCAUAUCAGCAAUCAGCUUGAAGGUGAAGUUUAUAUCUCUGCCUG